CCUACGGGAGGCAGCAGUAGGGAAUCUUCCGCAAUGGACGAAAGUCUGACGGAGCACGCCGCGUGAGUGAUGAAGGCUUUCGGGUCGUAAAACUCUGUUGUUAGGGAAGAACAAGUACGAGAGUAACUGCUCGUACCUUGACGGUACCUAACCAGAAAGCCACGGCUAACUACGUGCCAGCAGCCGCGGUAAUA
RNAcentral lists this ribosomal RNA (194 nucleotides) under uncultured bacterium. RNAcentral's name for it is "partial 16S ribosomal RNA". It matches the Rfam family "Bacterial small subunit ribosomal RNA", at positions 338 to 525 of the family's 1533-position model. The record is from RNAcentral.